Long non-coding RNA from Octopus sinensis (East Asian common octopus), 201 nucleotides. RefSeq lists it as uncharacterized. The transcript is spliced from 3 exons. Lineage: Eukaryota; Metazoa; Mollusca; Cephalopoda; Octopoda; Octopodidae. The record is from RefSeq and is a predicted model, not a curated record.
UAAUUAUAAACAUAAUUAUAAUCAGGGAUCAGCUAAUUGCUUUACCAUGCACCGAAUUUAGAAAUAGCAGUUAAAUGCCUUUUCUACUACCAUAAAAGAUCUCCCAGACAGUAACACACUUUUUUACGUGGGCAAAAAGAAAAAAUAACGAAUUUACAUGACUCAGAUUAGCUACAUACACUAUGAUAGCAGAACAGGGCU